UUGUGCAUAUGCACAGGAGUGUGCUUAAUUGCCGAUCUCUGUAACUUCUUAAUUGAACUUUGUAUCUCCUAUUUGUUCUAUCAAAUUCAUUGAUGUCAUCUUUGCUUUUCCUUUUCUUUUUAUUUUUUUGCUGGGUGGUUCUUAUAAAGAUACUAGCUCUUUAAUGAUUAUUUCGAUUAGAUUAAGAAAAUUUGUGUUCAUGCAUUUCAUUUUUGAGCAGGAGUACAAAUAUUAUGUGUAAUGAAAGAGAAGCAGAUGGUAGUCUAAUUCUUUUUAAGUAGCCAUCUUUCACUUCAUUUUUUAAUAUUAAUUUUUUACCAUACUUAUUGGUUGUUUGAUAAUUUGAUUUUGAAAAGUUGUUUUCCUCUACUCUAGUCAGGUGAUGAAUUUCGGGUUUCGAAUUUUCUAGAAUUCUUUUUCAUAUUCCAUGCAGAAGCUUUAAGGCUUUUUAUUUGUAAAAAUGUGCAGGAAACAACAUUAAAUCCUUUAUGGAUGUCAGGCUUCUUGGUAAUGGUUUUGGAACCACUCAUGGAAUGAUGAGAAAUAAUCUCAUUUGGGUUGUUUCAAGAAUGCAAGUUCAAGUGGAUUGAUCAUUAUCCGAUUUGGUAUUGAACUACACUAUAUUAACAUAUAUAUUCAAAUGACACUAGCACUGAAUUUCUGAGGAACAUGCGCAAUGGAAAAUUUUUAACAUAAAAAAAGAUUAAAUUUAGACAUUUGUUUCAUAACAAUGUUGUAUGUGUCAAUAGGGGUGAAGUAAUGGAGAUAGACAUAUGGGUUGGAGCAAGGUUGCAGGCUUGGUCUUGUGGUAAGCAAUGGACUAAUAAGAAAGCUUGUAUUUUGUUCUGUUUUCUCAAACUCAAACAAGGUAAAAGAGCUGAAAGAUUUACAUCAUUACCUGCAAAAGUUCUGUUAAAUGCUAUUGCUGAAUCUUACACAUAAUAAGAAACUUCUGUGGAUAGAAACUGUUGAAUGCAUUAUGUUAACAGGUCUUUGUAAUAUUUUGUGCAUACAUACUAUGAACAUAUUAAUUCUUGCUUUCGCAUUUAUUCUAUAUUGGAUGAAGAUAUCAGAAAUUAUAUUACUUUUUACUCAAAAUGAACUUCAUUACUUUCUCUCUCAUUUAUUCCUUAAUGGAACGGAG
This 1144-nucleotide long non-coding RNA is filed under the name Olea europaea subsp. europaea. The record is from RNAcentral. Lineage: Eukaryota; Viridiplantae; Streptophyta; Magnoliopsida; Lamiales; Oleaceae.